GAUGAACGCUGGCGGCGUGCCUAAUACAUGCAAGUCGAGCGAACGGACGAGAAGCUUGCUUCUCUGAUGUUAGCGGCGGACGGGUGAGUAACACGUGGAUAACCUACCUAUAAGACUGGGAUAACUUCGGGAAACCGGAGCUAAUACCGGAUAAUAUUUUGAACCGCAUGGUUCAAAAGUGAAAGACGGUCUUGCUGUCACUUAUAGAUGGAUCCGCGCUGCAUUAGCUAGUUGGUAAGGUAACGGCUUACCAAGGCAACGAUGCAUAGCCGACCUGAGAGGGUGACCAGACACACUGGAACUGAGACACGGUCCAGACUCCUACGGGAGGCAGCAGUAGGGAAUCUUCCGCAAUGGGCGAAAGCCUGACGGAGCAACGCCGCGUGAGUGAUGAAGGUCUUCGGAUCGUAAAGCUCUGUUAUUAGGGAAGAACAUAUGUGUAAGUAACUGUGCACAUCUUGACGGUACCUAAUCAGAAAGCCACGGCUAACUACGUG
RNAcentral lists this ribosomal RNA (497 nucleotides) under uncultured bacterium. RNAcentral's name for it is "partial 16S ribosomal RNA". It matches the Rfam family "Bacterial small subunit ribosomal RNA", at positions 28 to 507 of the family's 1533-position model. The record is from RNAcentral.